This 131-nucleotide small nucleolar RNA is filed under the name Erinaceus europaeus (western European hedgehog). RNAcentral's name for it is "Small nucleolar RNA SNORA30/SNORA37 family (ENSEEUG00000018764.1)". The record is from RNAcentral. Lineage: Eukaryota; Metazoa; Chordata; Mammalia; Eulipotyphla; Erinaceidae.
AAAAAACUCAUUCUAUCUCCUCCCCUAGAUUGUGGGGAUAGGAUUUGUUAGCUGGUACUGAAACAAAAUCCUUGAUUGCAUUCUUGCCCUGGGUCUGAGCUAGUGGCGGCUGUCAACUUGAUGGAACACAC